This 1983-nucleotide unclassified non-coding RNA is filed under the name Lingula anatina. Its description in RNAcentral is "sideroflexin-5, transcript variant X1". The record is from RNAcentral. Lineage: Eukaryota; Metazoa; Brachiopoda; Lingulata; Lingulida; Lingulidae.
CAGAAUUAUCAUGGCGACGUCGGGAGCGAACUUGCAGCUAGACUCGGAUGGUUUUCCACCAUUUCGACUAAAUGAAUCAAGAUUUGACCAGAACACAUUCUCUGGAAGACUGCGUCACUUUCUAGAUGUUGUUGAUCCAAAGACCCUAUUUACAUCAAAUCAACGUUUAAAGGAAAGUUGUCAGUUGCUGCAGGACUUUCAAAACGGCAAGCUACCUCCUAGUAUUUCAAACAAAGAGUUAUGGGAAGCACAAAAGAUAAAGCAGGCAAUUAUCCAUCCUGAUACUGGUGAAAAAAUAUUCAUGCCAUUUAGGAUGUCUGGUUUUGUUCCUUUUGGAUCCCCAAUUGUUGUUGGUCUUCUCCUUCCCAAUCCCACCAUUAAAGCCACCAUCUUCUGGCAGUGGCUGAAUCAGAGUCAUAAUGCCUGUGUUAACUACUCUAACAGAAAUGCCACGAAGCCAACACCGAUAAGUCGGUUCUUACUAGGGUAUGGUGCAGCCGUGGGUAGUGCAGUUACAAUAGCGGUAAGUCUAGGAGUGAUGAUCAAAAGAGCAAAUGCACUGACACCUUCCAUGAAACUCCUCAUCCAGAGAUUUGUACCUUUUCCAGCAGUUGCCACUGCCAGUGUAUGCAAUGUCAUUUGUAUGAGAAAUAAUGAACUUUCUGAAGGUAUUGAAGUUAUGGACAAGGAAGGGAGGAUAGUAGGAACAUCUCAGAUUGCUGCCAAGAAGGCCCUCCUUGAGACGGCUAUGACAAGGGCUGUGUUACCUGCCCCUAUCCUCAUUAUACCACCUGUUGUUAUGACACAGUUAGAAAAGACUAAGUUUCUCCAGACUCGUCCAAGAUUUCACUUACCCAUUCAUGCUGCAGUAGUAACUGCCUGUUUUGGAUUUGCCUUGCCUGUUGCCAUUGCCUUGUUCCCACAGUUUUCCCAGAUUUCAACAAAAGAUCUUGAAGCCAAACUUCAAGAAGCUACCUCUGAGCCAGCGGUGUACUAUAACAAAGGACUGUGAUUUGAUCCUCUCAGCAAGCUUGUUUUUUCAUGAACCAGGUGGAAAAGACCAGCAUUACACAAAAAUGUAGCAUGGUAUGCAACAGUAGCAAUGAUGUUCGCGGCUCCUGUUGAACUUGCAAAUGCAGGGUGCCGUAAAUAUAUUUUCCUGCUACGUUUUUUCUCCGUAAUGACAAUUUCAAUACCUACUGAUAUAUUUCUACGGUGCUGAAAACACAAUGACAUAUCAGGAAAUUAUGAUUUUCCAUUGUCAGUUAAAAAGUACCUUCAGUGAAUUUUACUCUUGCCAUCUAAAAUAUUACUUUUCAAAAGAUGUGAUAACUGCGAAAGUUUUAAAAACUACAUGAGUUUUCAGCGUUGCAUUUCUGUUUAAAGGUGGCGAUUUGCAUCAUGCUGAGCUGGUCACUAUUUUCAUAGUUUUCAUGGGCCAGCAUUUUACUUUCAAAUAAUUUUACAAGGGAACUGCUUGUGUCACACGCAUAUAGCAAACGCCUACAAGCAAGAAAUAAUUUGGUGUGUGUUUCUCCAAUAAAAUUUUAUUUUUGACCAUAAUUAUGCCUCGUGGCUGUAAGUAAGAUGUUUUUAAUAUUGUUCUCAUGUCAGACUUUCUAUUGAGACUUUGACUAAUCGAUCUCACUUAAGGUGAUAAAGAUAGGAGGUGAAAGGAAGGUUAGAUACCAUUAGUGAGACACCUUGGGGGAUUUCCCUCUCUGCCCUCCCGGUUACAGCAGAAAGAAAAAAAUUCUUUCACUUAUCUUGAAAAGCUGUCAAGCUAUUAUGAGCAUUAGAAUACCAUAAAAUCUCCUGCAAGCCAUUUGGUUUAAUUUUUUUCUUCUUAAUUUUUCAUUUUUUCCUUAUUUUUUAACUUGAAAGGUAAACUUGUGUAGUUAGACUGAAAGGAUACUGGAAAAGGAGAAGCCUGCUGUAGGAAGUUUUUAUGGUGUGUUAAUUACAAAGUUGUUUGUUUAAGAA